GAGUUGGCUCUGUACCCUGGAGUGUGGAGACAGCAGUUCUUCCUCUGGUUUCCUCAGUGCUGCCAAGGACGAUUUUUCCAGCAAGUACCAUGUCACUAGAAAAUUUUGGUACUUCUCAUAAGGGGUAUGCACUAGCACAUACCCAAGGAGGAGGAGAAAAAAAGCAAACUUCAGGUACAUCAAACACCAGAGGAUCAAGACGAAAACCUGCAACAACUGCUCCUACAAGGAGGUCCACACGAAACACACGCGUUGAGACAGUCAGUCCAUCCCAGAAGUCC
This 281-nucleotide long non-coding RNA is filed under the name Rattus norvegicus (Norway rat). RNAcentral's name for it is "long non-coding RNA NONRATT027285". Lineage: Eukaryota; Metazoa; Chordata; Mammalia; Rodentia; Muridae. The record is from RNAcentral.